This is a long non-coding RNA of Humulus lupulus (European hop), 907 nucleotides long. RefSeq lists it as uncharacterized. The record is from RefSeq and is a predicted model, not a curated record. NCBI's taxonomy places the organism in Eukaryota, Viridiplantae, Streptophyta, Magnoliopsida, Rosales, Cannabaceae. The transcript has 3 exons.
AGGAUUGAAGAGAGAGAGAGUGUUCUUAUCGUUUUUUUUUAAAGAGAAGAAAUUUUUGAGUUCUUGCACUUGGGAAAAAUCUGGGCAGUAAAGAGCAUUGUAGAAUCAUUCUAGGGGAGGAAAUAAACAUUUUGAGUGUGAGAAAUACAUUUAUAAAGCCUCGGAUUGUGAUUCACCAUUUUUAUCCAAGAAAAUGCAUAUUCUUGGAUAAUUUUGGAUUUAAGUGUGUUCAAGAGUGUAUGGUGUGUGUGGUUGGUGAUAAACAAGCUUAGGGGACUCCAAUAAUCGGUUUUGACGUGAAGAAAUGGGCUGAAAUGGUCUAGAGCAAGAAAAACUAAUUUUGAGCUCCAUUUUUGGCGGUACACCGGACUUGGAGAAGAAGACUUCGGAACAAGGGGUUACGGACAUCUUUUUGGGCUGGGGUCUAUUGAUUUGAAGUUCUGGACAUAAGGGGAUCAUUUUCCAAGCAAGAGAAGGAUUGGAAAGCAGCAAAAGUCAGCCAUAGAGUCGCCGUCGCCGGAGAAGAAGACAAAACCGGCGAUAUUUCCGGCGAACCCGAUCUGGGUGUUUACUGAGGAGCUAGUGGUCAUCGAGGUGACGCAGCGAGUGGUUCGAGACACGUCAGCGGAAAACGCACUGUGUAAGGUAAAGGCAAAGCAAAGCAGUGAGUGGUGCGGGCUCGAGGCAUGGACGAAACAUGUUAGAGGCUGGGCUCCAGUUAUUUUAUGUUUUUAGAAAUAAAUGUUAUGUUUUUAAAUUUUCAGACUUGAAUGGUUAUUUUCCUUAUGUUUUGUUAUUAAACCUAGCGUCCAACAUUUUUAUUUUUAAAUAAUGAGAUCUCAUUGCUGCUUAAAUUUUAAAUACAUAUGUUCUCUUAGUGUCUUAAAGUAUUUAUUGUUUAUUAUUU